GCCACACUGGGACUGAGACACGGCCCAGACACCUACGGGUGGCAGCAGUAGGGAAUAUUGGACAAUGGGCGAAAGCCUGAUCCAGCAAUGCCGCGUGAGUGACGAAGGAUUUCGGUCUGUAAAGCUCUUUUGUGAGGGAAGAAAUGACAUGUGAGGAAAUGCUCAUGUCUUGACGGUACCUCAUGAAUAAGGGACGGCUAACUCCGUGCCAGCAGCCGCGGUAAUACGGAGGUCCCAAGCGUUGUUCGGAAUUACUGGGCGUAAAGGGAGCGCAGGCGGACAGGUAAGUCUAAAGUGGAAUCCCGGGGCUCAACCUCGGAACUGCUUCGGAUACUGCCUGUCUUGAGUUCGUGAGAGGAAAGCGGAAUUCAGGGUGUAGCGGUGAAAUGCUUAGAUAUCCUGAGGAACACCAAUGGCGAAGGCAGCUUUCUGGCGCGAUACUGACGCUGAGGCUCGAAAGCGUGGGGAGCGAACGGGAUUAGAUACCCCGGUAGUCCACGCCGUAAACGUUGUGCGCUAGGUGUAGGAGGUAUCGACCCCUUCUGUGCCGCAGCUAACGCAUUAAGCGCACCGCCUGGGGAGUACGGUCGCAAGACUGAAACUCAAAGGAAUUGACGGGGGCCCGCACAAGCGGUGGAGCAUGUGGUUUAAUUCGAGGCAACGCGAAGAACCUUACCCAGACUUGACAUCCCAGGACAGCUUAUGAAAGUAAGUCUUCCCUUCGGGGACCUGGAGACAGGUGUUGCAUGGCUGUCGUCAGCUCGUGUCGUGAGAUGUUGGGUUAAGUCCCGCAACGAGCGCAACCCCUAUUCUUAGUUACCAUCGGGUAAUGCCGGGCACUCUAAGAAGACCGCCGGUGAUAAACCGGAGGAAGGCGGGGACGACGUCAAGUCAUCAUGGCCCUUACGUCUGGGGCUACACACGUGCUACAAUGGCCGGUACAAUGGGCUGCAAUACCGCGAGGUGGAGCCAACCCCAAAAAACCGGUCUCAGUUCGGAUUGGAGUCUGCAACUCGACUCCAUGAAGCCGGAAUCGCUAGUAAUCGAGGAUCAGCUACGCCUCGGUGAAUACGUUCCCGGGCCUUGUACACACCGCCCGUCACAUGACCCGAGUCGGUUGCACCCGAAGUCACUGGCCUAACCCGCAAGGGAAGGAGGUGCCGAAGGUGUGAUUGGUGAGGGGGAUGAAGUCGAAACAAGGUA
This 1203-nucleotide ribosomal RNA is filed under the name metagenome. RNAcentral describes it as "bacterial SSU rRNA". It matches the Rfam family "Bacterial small subunit ribosomal RNA", at positions 307 to 1498 of the family's 1533-position model. The record is from RNAcentral.